Long non-coding RNA from Triticum dicoccoides, 517 nucleotides. RefSeq lists it as uncharacterized. The transcript is spliced from 2 exons. Lineage: Eukaryota; Viridiplantae; Streptophyta; Magnoliopsida; Poales; Poaceae. The record is from RefSeq and is a predicted model, not a curated record.
CAAGGCCACGCCCGUAUCCGAGUGGUGCAGCUCGGUGCUGUUGUCCGUGCAGUUUGUUGUUGUAUUCGACAACAAUGGCAACAGAAGCUUGGCCCCCGCUAGACUAGGAACAUAUGGAACCUAUUGCGUCUUGCUGAUGGAAAAGAGGUAAUAAUACAAGGAGUUCUUCAGACUGGGUAGUGUUGUCACCUGAGAAGGGGAUGGGAGUUCAGACUGAACAUGAACACGAUAGGUAGUUGCUCAGUUUAAGAUAUUGGAUUCAGUUACGGCCACAUCAAUGAUUUAAAUAAAAUCUCACAAAAGAUGUGGAACCCAAGCCUGUAUAAAGGUUACGUGCAUGCAUUGCUAGGCUGCUAGCACCUUGGACUUGUGGAGCCAUUGGCAGGGCAUGUGAAGCAUUGGCCAACUUGUUCGUGGCUAAACUGUACUCUUUUGUUUUGUUUAGACUAAGCACACUCUUCUUAGAUAAUCUGUAUUAUCAGCCCCACAUCAAGUGCACACACUCUUUUGUUUUCUA